CUACGGAGGGGGCUAGCGUUGUUCGGAAUUACUGGGCGUAAAGCGCGCGUAGGCGGAUUGGUCAGUUGGGGGUGAAAUCCCGAGGCUUAACCUCGGAACUGCCCUCAAUACUACCGAUCUAGAGUCCGGAAGAGGUGAGUGGAAUUCCUAGUGUAGAGGUGAAAUUCGUAGAUAUUAGGAAGAACACCAGUGGCGAAGGCGGCUCACUGGUCCGGUACUGACGCUGAGGUGCGAAAGCGUGGGGAGCAAACAGGAUUAGAAACCCGAGUAGUCC
This 274-nucleotide ribosomal RNA is filed under the name uncultured bacterium. RNAcentral's name for it is "partial 16S ribosomal RNA". It matches the Rfam family "Bacterial small subunit ribosomal RNA", at positions 523 to 796 of the family's 1533-position model. The record is from RNAcentral.